This 775-nucleotide ribosomal RNA is filed under the name uncultured Neocallimastigales. RNAcentral's name for it is "partial large subunit ribosomal RNA". It matches the Rfam family "Eukaryotic large subunit ribosomal RNA", at positions 23 to 645 of the family's 3401-position model. The record is from RNAcentral. Lineage: Eukaryota; Fungi; Neocallimastigomycota; Neocallimastigomycetes; Neocallimastigales.
AGAGAGAGACAUGCGCGCAUAUCAAUAAGCGGAGGAAAAGAAACUAACAAGGAUUCCCUUAGUAACGGCGAGUGAAGCGGGAAGAGCUCAAAUUUGAAAUCUUCAAGGUUCUACCUUGACGAAUUGUAGUUUAAAGAAGUGUUUUCUGCUGGAGUUUUGGUAAAAGUUCUUUGGAAUAGGACAUCAUAGAGGGUGAGAAUCCCGUAUUUGACCAUUAUUUCCAGCUUUGUGAUACACUUUCAAAGAGUCGGAUUGUUUGGGGAAUGCAGUCCAAAAUGGGUGGUAAAUUUCAUCUAAAGCUAAAUAUUGGCGAGAGACCGAUAGCGAACAAGUACCGUGAGGGAAAGAUGAAAAGAACUUUGAAAAGAGAGUUAAACAGUACGUGAAAUUGUCAAAAGGGAAGCGUUUGACACCAGUGUUGUUUUCUCGAAAAUCAAUUAAAAAUGGCUCGAUUUUGUAUUGUUGAGACCUUAAAAGCUCACUGUACAUUUUUCGUGUCUUUUUUAAUGCACUUUUCGUUUAACAAGUCAACAUCAGUUUCUUUUGUUGUAAAAGGGUCAUUGGAAGGUGGCUUUCUUUUCGGAGAAAGUGUUUAUAGCCUUUGGCCUCUGCAAUCGGAGAGACUGAGGUCUGCAGCGUAGACUCUUCGGGGUUAGAUACAUUUGUGCUAAGUUAUAGCUUUUUAUAGACAACUUGUUGACUAUAAUUAGUCUUGUAGCUUACUCGCUUAUGCUAUUUUACCUACGCUUAGGAUGUUGAAGUCAUCGUAUCGCGC